RNAcentral lists this ribosomal RNA (1035 nucleotides) under Rossellomorea vietnamensis. RNAcentral describes it as "bacterial SSU rRNA". It matches the Rfam family "Bacterial small subunit ribosomal RNA", at positions 67 to 1063 of the family's 1533-position model. The record is from RNAcentral. Lineage: Bacteria; Bacillati; Bacillota; Bacilli; Caryophanales; Bacillaceae.
CGAGAUGAUGGGAGCUUGCUUCCCUAAUUUCAGCGGCGGGACGGGUGAGUUACCCCGUGGGUAACCUGCCUGUUAAGACUGGGGAUAACUCCGGGGAAACCGGGGCUAAUACCGGAUAACUCAUUUCCUCGCAUGAGGAAAUGUUGAAAGGUGGCUUUCUAGCUACCACUUACAGAUGGACCCGCGGCGCAUUAGCUAGUUGGUGAGGUAACGGCUCACCAAGGCAACGAUGCGUAGCCGACCUGAGAGGGUGAUCGGCCACACUGGGACUGAGACACGGCCCAGACUCUACGGGAGGCAGCAGUAGGGAAUCUUCCGCAAUGGACGAAAGUCUGACGGAGCAACGCCGCGUGAGUGAUGAAGGUUUUCGGAUCGUAAAGCUCUGUUGUUAGGGAAGAACAAGUGCCGUUCGAAUAGGGCGGCACCUUGACGGUACCUAACCAGAAAGCCACGGCUAACUACGUGCCAGCAGCCGCGGUAAUACGUAGGUGGCAAGCGUUGUCCGGAAUUAUUGGGCGUAAAGCGCGCGCAGGUGGUUCCUUAAGUCUGAUGUGAAAGCCCACGGCUCAACCGUGGAGGGUCAUUGGAAACUGGGGGACUUGAGUGCAGAAGAGGAAAGUGGAAUUCCAAGUGUAGCGGUGAAAUGCGUAGAUAUUUGGGAGGAACACCCAGUGGCGAAGGCGACUUUCUGGUCUGUAACUGACACUUAAGGCGCGAAAGCGUGGGGAGCAAACCGGGAUUAGAUACCCUGGUUAUGCCACGCCGGUAAACGAUGAGUGCUAAGUGUUAAGGGGGUUUCCGCCCCUUAGUGCCUGCCCUAACGCCAUUUAAGGCACUCCGCCUGGGGAGUACGGUCGCAAGACUGAAACUCAAAGGAAUUGACGGGGGGCCGCACAAGCGGUGGAGCAUGUGGUUUAAUUCGAAGCAACGCGAAGAACCUUACCAGGUCUUGACAUCCUCUGACAACCCUAGAGAUAGGGCUUUUCCCCUUCGGGGGACAGAGUGACAGGUGGUGCAUGGUGUCGUCCAGCCCCC